CUUGCCAUGUGAAGCAAGGGCUGGGUGAAAAGCACUACGUGGGACAAGAGAGUAAAAAAUAAUUAGAGGGUAUUAAUUAAACAUUGAACAAAUCAAGAUUUGACUAUUGGUGUUUUAGUUCCUGGAACUGAGCAGAACUCACUUCCUCUCUGCACACUGACGGACCAUAUAAAAAGGGAUCUCCCACAGUUGGUUACUCCACAAGCAUCGGAUACUCCGAAAGCAUCUCAUCAGAUCCACUAGGACAGCAGAUAUACCCAACCUGCUCUAAGAUGGCUCGGGGGAUGGAAGGAAUCCAGUUGGAAAACUUGUAUCAUCCAGAAGAUGAGAGCUUCCCCUUCUUUGACUCCUUCAGUCAAUAUCCUGGCUACUGUCCACCGGUUCAGCGUCCCAACUGGCAGUGUCCCCCAAGCUAUGUCCAAAGGUGGUGGGGCCCCUUCAAUAUCCCAGGGUGUGGCUCCUGCUAUAUCCCAGUAUAUUGCCGCCGCUGGUAUCGCCAAUAGAACUUCUAACCAUGGUCAUGUUAAGCCCAAAUGCAACUUUGGCAGGAAAGAAGACACAAGAUUCUGACCCUCGGCUGAAUGGAUGGACACAAUAUUCGGAAGUGCUGAGCGCUCCACAGACCCCGCUGCACAACCAAUGGGAUUUGUGAGGGCUCAGUAUGUCUGUUAAAUCACAUGGUGUGUUGACUUUAUGGUUUUGGCUUCCCCAUCUUUGUAUACAUGCUUCUUUUUUGGAACAGGCUCCCUUUCUGCAGUUACACCCAUUGCCUUGUGUUUGAGGCAUUUGUGAUGUGCUCGGAACAUCUGGCUCCUUCCUUUAUUUUCUCAUUAAAAUGUUCAGCAUAUCAUAGAA
Molecule: long non-coding RNA, 855 nt
Organism: Rhineura floridana
Lineage: Eukaryota; Metazoa; Chordata; Lepidosauria; Squamata; Rhineuridae
Exons: 2
Source: RefSeq, a predicted model, not a curated record